Molecule: long non-coding RNA, 368 nt
Organism: Brassica oleracea var. oleracea
Lineage: Eukaryota; Viridiplantae; Streptophyta; Magnoliopsida; Brassicales; Brassicaceae
Exons: 2
Source: RefSeq, a predicted model, not a curated record
UUAGUGAAGCUGAUCUCAAUAGAGAUUAUAUACAUGUCUGAAGUAUAUUUGAGCGUCAGAGAGAGAGAGAGAAACUAAACUAAUGGAAGAGACAAUGAAGAAUAAGAAGAAGAACGAUGGUUCCAAAAAGAAGGAGCGUCAUAUUGUCACUUGGUCUCAAGAGUUUGGAAGAUGCCUAGGUAUGAUGAUCGCUACGGGAACACUCGUCUUUACGUUGGACACGUAUCAUCCAGAACUCGUACCAGAGACCUUGAACGCCUUUUCAACAGAUAUGGAAGGUAACUGAGUUUCUUCUCGUUCUACCAAACUGAUUAUGUUGAUAUCUGUAGUGUCUUUUUCUUUGAACGCAUAAACUGAUUAUGUUGAUA